GACGAACGCUGGCGGCGUGCCUAAUACAUGCAAGUAGAACGCACAGUUUAUACCGUAGCUUGCUACACCAUAGACUGUGAGUUGCGAACGGGUGAGUAACGCGUAGGUAACCUGCCUGGUAGCGGGGGAUAACUAUUGGAAACGAUAGCUAAUACCGCAUAAUAUUAAUUAUUGCAUGAUAAUUAAUUGAAAGGUGCAAUUGCACCACUACCAGAUGGACCUGCGUUGUAUUAGCUAGUAGGUGAGGUAACGGCUCACCUAGGCGACGAUACAUAGCCGACCUGAGGGGGGGACGGGCCAACUGGGGACGGGACCACGGCCAAGACUCCUACGGGGGGCAGCAGUAGGGAAUCUUCGGAAAUGGACGAAAGCUUGACCGAGCAAGGCCGGGGGGGGGAAAAAGGUUUUGGGAUCGUAAGGCUCUUUUGUAAGGGAAAAACGGGGGGGAGGGUGGAAAGUUCACACUGGGACGGUAUCCUACCAGAAGGGGACGGCGAACUCGGG
This 504-nucleotide ribosomal RNA is filed under the name uncultured bacterium. RNAcentral's name for it is "partial 16S ribosomal RNA". It matches the Rfam family "Bacterial small subunit ribosomal RNA", at positions 28 to 506 of the family's 1533-position model. The record is from RNAcentral.